GAUGAACGCUGGCGGCGUGCUUAACACAUGCAAGUCGAACGGAAAGGCCCUGCUUUUGUGGGGUGCUCGAGUGGCGAACGGGUGAGUAACACGUGAGUAACAUGCACUUGACUUUGGGAUAACAUCAGGAAAAUGGGGCUAAUACCGGAUAGGAGAUCCUGCAGCACGGUGGGGGUUGGAAAGUUUCGGCGGUUGGGGAUGGUUUAGCGGCUUAUCAGCUUGAUGGUGGGGUAGUGACUUACAAAGGUUUUGACGGGUAGCCGGCCUGAGAGUGUGACCGGCCACAUUGGUACUGCGAGACGCACCAGACGCCAACGUUAGGCAGCAGUGGGGAAUAUUGCACAAUAGGCGGGAGCCUGAUACAGCGACGCCGCGUUCGUAAAGAUGUCUUUCUAGUGGUAAACCUCUUUCGCCGUAGACGAGGCGUUAGUGACGGUAAUUGGUAAAGAAGCACCGGCUAACUACGUG
RNAcentral lists this ribosomal RNA (468 nucleotides) under uncultured bacterium. RNAcentral's name for it is "partial 16S ribosomal RNA". It matches the Rfam family "Bacterial small subunit ribosomal RNA", at positions 28 to 507 of the family's 1533-position model. The record is from RNAcentral.